CUCUCGGAAACCAUUUGCUGGAUCUUAGUUCUGAUACAAUAUCCUGAUCCUUUGUCUGAAGAUUGACACUUAAGCCCGUUCUUUCAGAAGCUGAGCAGAUUAUUUUUAAUGCACAGAAGGAAGAAAACAAUUGUCUUGCCCCAUCUUAUACAAGAGAUUCCUGAGGUGUGUCCCUGUCUGAAAGAGAAGUGCAGCCAUGCUAGUGAGGAGAAGCAACAGCAACAGUGGAGCAAAGGGAAAGCUUGGAGUAUGUAGCAUCUCAGACAUGGCUUUCAUAAUGAUGAUGACAACUUUAGCUGGGAUUCUGUGGCACUGAAGGAAGUUUCACAGUGAAGGUCAGACUGUCAAAUGCCUUUUCAACUGAUUAAGCUAAAGAAGAGAGGAGCCUGCCAUCCUAUGCAAUCUUCUGCAUUGCUCUCCAGUAUGAGUAUCUGGUUUUCACAGGAUCUCUUGGACCUAAAUACAGCCUGUUCUCUUCUAAACUUUGCAUCCAUUACAUCUUUCAUCCUGUGCAAUACCACACUGCAGAAGACUUUAUACUACUCUUGCUUCUAUGGGACACCUCUCCAGCAGCCAGUGAGAUCACUCUUUUUGGGUAUUCUGGCGGUGAUUCCCUGCUUCCACUGUUGAGGAGACUUUUCACAGAUUCAACUCAGUCAGUCUGGUUAAGGUAGUGAUUCCCAAUGUUUCUAGCAUUUUUGCUACAACUUGAUGAACUCCUGUCACUUUAUUGUUUUUGAUUGCUGCCUGUGAGUGUUACAUCUUGACUGGGUCAGCAUUAAUGUCACAAUGUUCAGUUUCACAUAUGUCAUCAAAAUCUAGUGCUGGGGGAGGAGGGGGGUGCUUAGUCAUUCAAGGACAUAUUUUAAAUACUCUGACCAUCUGUUUUUCUGUUCUACUUCAGUUAUGAACAUUUUUUCCAUUUUUGCUUUUGAUUUGGU
This is a long non-coding RNA of Alligator mississippiensis (American alligator), 941 nucleotides long. RefSeq lists it as uncharacterized. The record is from RefSeq and is a predicted model, not a curated record. NCBI's taxonomy places the organism in Eukaryota, Metazoa, Chordata, Crocodylia, Alligatoridae. The transcript has 3 exons.